AGAGUUUGAUCCUGGCUCAGAUUGAACGCUGGCGGCAGGCCUAACACAUGCAAGUCGAGCGUGAAAGUCCUUCGGGAUGAGUAAAGCGGCGGACGGGUGAGUAACGCGUAGGAAUCUACCUAAUAGUGGGGGACAACGUUUCGAAAGGAACGCUAAUACCGCAUACGUUCUGAGGAAGAAAGCAGGGGAUCGCAAGACCUUGCGCUAUUAGAUGAGCCUGCGUCCGAUUAGCUAGUUGGUGGGGUAAAGGCCUACCAAGGCGACGAUCGGUAACUGGUCUGAGAGGAUGAUCAGUCACACUGGAACUGAGACACGGUCCAGACUCCUACGGGAGGCAGCAGUGGGGAAUAUUGGACAAUGGGGGCAACCCUGAUCCAGCCAUGCCGCGUGUGUGAAGAAGGCCUUCGGGUUGUAAAGCACUUUAAGCGGGGAGGAAGGCUCUAUGGCUAAUAUCCAUGGGGAUUGACGUUACCCGCAGAAUAAGCACCGGCAAACUUCGUG
RNAcentral lists this ribosomal RNA (501 nucleotides) under uncultured bacterium. Its description in RNAcentral is "bacterial SSU rRNA". It matches the Rfam family "Bacterial small subunit ribosomal RNA", at positions 8 to 507 of the family's 1533-position model. The record is from RNAcentral.